GAUGAAGAACGUAGCGAAAUGCGAUAAGUAAUGUGAAUUGCAGAAUUCAGUGAAUCAUCGAAUCUUUGAACGCACAUUGCGCCCAUUAGUAUUCUAGUGGGCAUGCCUGUUCGAGCGUCAUUAAGUCCACUUAAGCCCUGCUUAGUGUUGGGAGACUGCUCCAUCGGUGCUACCCUGUAGCUACCCUGCAGCUCCUCAAAGACAGCGGCGGAGUUGUGGUAUCCUCUGAGCUUAGUAACUUGUUCUAGCUUUCGAGUACACCACUUCCCCUGCCGUAAAACCCUUAAUUUUUAAUGGUUGACCUCGGAUCAGGUAGGAAUACCCGCUGAACUUAAGCAUAUCAAUAAGCGGAGGA
This 355-nucleotide unclassified non-coding RNA is filed under the name soil metagenome. RNAcentral's name for it is "partial contains 5.8S ribosomal RNA, internal transcribed spacer 2, and large subunit ribosomal RNA". The stretch from base 1 to 120 matches the Rfam family "5.8S ribosomal RNA", at positions 35 to 154 of the family's 154-position model. The record is from RNAcentral.